RNAcentral lists this ribosomal RNA (468 nucleotides) under uncultured bacterium. RNAcentral's name for it is "partial 16S ribosomal RNA". It matches the Rfam family "Bacterial small subunit ribosomal RNA", at positions 28 to 507 of the family's 1533-position model. The record is from RNAcentral.
GACGAACGCUGGCGGCGUGCUUAACACAUGCAAGUCGAACGGAAAGGCCCUGCUUUUGUGGGAUGCUCGAGUGGCGAACGGGUGAGUAACACGUGAGUAACCUGCCCUUGACUUUGGGAUAACUUCAGGAAACUGGGGCUAAUACCGGAUAUGAGCUCCUGCUGCAUGGUGUUGGUUGGAAAGUUUCGGCGGUUGGGGAUGGACUCGCGGCUUAUCAGCUUGUUGGUGGGGUAGUGGCUUACCAAGGCUUUGACGGGUAGCCGGCCUGAGAGGGUGACCGGCCACAUUGGGACUGAGAUACGGCCCAGACGCAUACGGGAGGCAGAAGUGGGGAAUAUUGCACAAUGGGCGGAAGCCUGAUGCAGCAACGCCGCGUGCGGGAUGACGGCCUUCGGGUUGUAACCCGCUUUCGCCUGUGACGAAGCGUGAGUGACGGUAAUGGGUAAAGAAGCACCGGCUAACUACGUG